This 126-nucleotide non-coding RNA is filed under the name marine eukaryotic metagenome. RNAcentral describes it as "FMN riboswitch (RFN element)". It matches the Rfam family "FMN riboswitch aptamer (RFN element)". Rfam says of the family: The RFN element is a highly conserved domain that is found frequently in the 5'-untranslated regions of prokaryotic mRNAs that encode for flavin mononucleotide (FMN) biosynthesis and transport proteins. This element is a metabolite-dependent riboswitch that directly binds FMN in the absence of proteins. The record is from RNAcentral.
CAUUCUCAGGGCGGGGUGAAAUUCCCCACCGGCGGUUACAGCCCGCGAGCGCCCCUUGGCACCAAGGGGGUCAGCAGAUCCGGUGAAAUUCCGGGGCCGACGGUCAUAGUCCGGAUGAAAGAGAAU